CAAAGGCAUGGUCCCGACCUUAUUAUCAACUCUAGCCCAACUUACACAUGCAAGUCUCCGAGCCCCGUGAGUAAGCCCCUCAAUCCCCUGCCCGGGGACGAGGAGCCGGCAUCAGGCACAAAUAUUUAGCCCAAAACGCCAGGCCGAGCCACACCCCCAAGGGAAUUCAGCAGUGAUAAAUAUUGAGCCAUAAGUGAAAACUUGACUCAGUUAGAGCUAAGAGAGCCGGUAAAACUCGUGCCAGCCACCGCGGUUAAACGAGAGGCCCUAGUUGAUAACACGACGGCGUAAAGGGUGGUUAAGGAUAGCAAAACAAUAAAGUCGAAUGGCCCUUUGGCUGUCAUACGCUUCUAGGAGUCCGAAGCCCAACAUACGAAAGUAACUUUAAAAAGCCCACCUGACCCCACGAAAACUGAGAAACAAACUGGGAUUAGAUACCCCACUAUGCUCAGUCAUAAACCCAGACGUCCAGCUACAAUUUGACGUCCGCCCGGGUACUACGAGCAUUAGCUUGAAACCCAAAGGACCUGACGGUGCCUCAGACCCCCCUAGAGGAGCCUGUUCUAGAACCGAUAACCCCCGUUAAACCUCACCGCUUCUAGCCAUCCCAGCCUAUAUACCGCCGUCGUCAGCUUACCCUG
This 641-nucleotide ribosomal RNA is filed under the name Hybopsis cf. winchelli. Its description in RNAcentral is "partial 12S ribosomal RNA". It matches the Rfam family "Bacterial small subunit ribosomal RNA", at positions 9 to 1067 of the family's 1533-position model. Lineage: Eukaryota; Metazoa; Chordata; Actinopteri; Cypriniformes; Leuciscidae. The record is from RNAcentral.